Molecule: small RNA, 83 nt
Filed under: Marmota monax (woodchuck)
Lineage: Eukaryota; Metazoa; Chordata; Mammalia; Rodentia; Sciuridae
Source: RNAcentral
GCUGGGUGUGGUGGCGCACACCUGCAAUCCCUGUGGCUCAGGAGGCUGAGGCAGGAGGAUCACAAGUUCAAAGCCAGCCUCAG